UAGGGAAUCUUCGGCAAUGGACGAAAGUCUGACCGAGCAACGCCGCGUGAGUGAAGAAGGUUUUCGGAUCGUAAAACUCUGUUGUUAGAGAAGAACAAGGACGUUAGUAACUGAACGUCCCCUGACGGUAUCUAACCAGAAAGCCACGGCUAACUACGUGCCAGCAGCCGCGGUAAUACGUAGGUGGCAAGCGUUGUCCGGAUUUAUUGGGCGUAAAGCGAGCGCAGGCGGUUUCUUAAGUCUGAUGUGAAAGCCCCCGGCUCAACCGGGGAGGGUCAUUGGAAACUGGGAGACUUGAGUGCAGAAGAGGAGAGUGGAAUUCCAUGUGUAGCGGUGAAAUGCGUAGAGAUAUGGAGGAACACCAGUGGCGAAGGCGGCUCUCUGGUCUGUAACUGACGCUGAGGCUCGAAAGCGUGGGGAGCAAACAGG
Molecule: ribosomal RNA, 429 nt
Filed under: Chloroflexota bacterium
Lineage: Bacteria; Bacillati; Chloroflexota
Also listed under: 1 other name
Description: Chloroflexi bacterium partial 16S ribosomal RNA
Rfam family: Bacterial small subunit ribosomal RNA
Source: RNAcentral